AUGCAUUUGCGCUCUUGGGAUUGGCUAUCCUCACCAAAGUUCCUAGGUGACAUGGUAUUUAGAGAUCUUCAACUCGUUAACAAGGCCAUGCUAGGUAGACAGGGAUGGCGACUUCUGACAGAACCAAAUUCCUUAUGUGUGAGAGUCCUCAAAGGCCGGUAUUUUCCCAACUCUGACUUUUGGCACGCAUCCUAUGCUAGAUCCACUUCUUAUACUUGGUGUAGCCUUAUGUUUGGAAAAAGGUUGUUGGAUCAAGGUAUUGUGUGGAAAAUUAGUAAUGAUAAAUCUAUCUGUAUUAGCCAUGACAAAUGGGUUCCUGAUGUAUUGUUGGGACGUGUUAGCCUGAUGUUGCCUAUGCCUGGACUACAAACUAUUGAUGCGCUCAUCGAUUCUGAUUCUCGACAUUGGGACCAUGACACAGUCAAUGCCUUUUUUGCACUAGAGGUGGCAGAGAAAAUACUGUAA
This 465-nucleotide ribosomal RNA is filed under the name Triticum aestivum (bread wheat). RNAcentral describes it as "partial small subunit ribosomal RNA". Lineage: Eukaryota; Viridiplantae; Streptophyta; Magnoliopsida; Poales; Poaceae. The record is from RNAcentral.